This 774-nucleotide ribosomal RNA is filed under the name uncultured Neocallimastigales. RNAcentral's name for it is "partial large subunit ribosomal RNA". It matches the Rfam family "Eukaryotic large subunit ribosomal RNA", at positions 18 to 635 of the family's 3401-position model. The record is from RNAcentral. Lineage: Eukaryota; Fungi; Neocallimastigomycota; Neocallimastigomycetes; Neocallimastigales.
UCAGACGAUGCGUCAUGCAUAUCAAUAAGCGGAGGAAAAGAAACUAACAAGGAUUCCCUUAGUAACGGCGAGUGAAGCGGGAAGAGCUCAAAUUUGAAAUCUUCAAGGUUUUACCUUGACGAAUUGUAGUUUAAAGAAGUGUUUUCUGUUAGAGAGUAGUAAAAGUUCUUUGGAAUAGGACAUCAUAGAGGGUGAGAAUCCCGUAUUUGACCAUUAUUUUCAGCUGUGUGAUACACUUUCAAAGAGUCGGAUUGUUUGGGAAUGCAGUCCAAAAUGGGUGGUAAAUUUCAUCUAAAGCUAAAUAUUGGCGAGAGACCGAUAGCGAACAAGUACCGCUGAGGGAAAGAUGAAAAGAACUUUGAAAAGAGAGUUAAACAGUACGUGAAAUUGUCAAAAGGGAAGCGUUUGACACCAGUGUUGUUUUCUCGAAAAUCAAUUAAAAAGAGUUGGAUUUUGUGUUGUAUUGACCUUAACAGCUUGCUUCACUCUUUUCCUGCUUUUUUUAAUGCACUUUUCGUUUAACAAGUCAACAUCAGUUUCUUUUGUUGUAAAAGGGUCAUUGGAAGGUGGCUUUCUCUUCGGAGAAAGUGUUUAUAGCCUUUGAUCUCUGCAAUCGGAGAGACUGAGGUCUGCAGCGUAGAUCCUUCGGGGUUAGAUACAUUUGUGCUAAGCUACAGCUUUUCAUAGACAACUUGUUGACUAUGUUUAGUCUUGUAACUUACCCGCUUAUGCUAUUUUACCUACGCUUAGGAUGUUGAUAUGCAUGACUGAUAU